This 304-nucleotide ribosomal RNA is filed under the name uncultured cyanobacterium SUR-FREE-33. Its description in RNAcentral is "bacterial SSU rRNA". It matches the Rfam family "Bacterial small subunit ribosomal RNA", at positions 1197 to 1501 of the family's 1533-position model. Lineage: Bacteria; Bacillati; Cyanobacteriota. The record is from RNAcentral.
GCCCCUUACAUCCUGGGGUACACACGUACUACAAUGCUACGGACAAAGGGCAGCAAGUUCGCGAGGACAAGCAAAUCCCAUAAACCGUGCUCAGUUCAGAUCGUAGGCUGCAACUCGCCUACGUGAAGGAGGAAUCGCUAGUAAUCGCAGGUCAGCAUACUGCGGUGAAUACGUUCCCGGGCCUUGUACACACCGCCCGUCACACCAUGGAAGUUGGCCACGCCCGAAGCCGUUACUCCAACCCUCGGGAGGAGGACGUCGAAGGUGGGGCUGAUGACUGGGGUGAAGUCGUAACAAGGUAACC